RNAcentral lists this ribosomal RNA (376 nucleotides) under uncultured organism. RNAcentral describes it as "partial 16S ribosomal RNA". It matches the Rfam family "Bacterial small subunit ribosomal RNA", at positions 527 to 896 of the family's 1533-position model. The record is from RNAcentral.
GUAGGUGGCAAGCGUUGUCCGGAAUUAUUGGGCGUAAAGCGCGCGCAGGCGGGGUCCUUUAAGGUCUGAUGUGAAAGCCCACGGGCUCAACCGUGGAGGGUCAUUGGAAACUGGGGGACUUGAGUACAGAAGAGGAAAGCGGAAUUCCAAGUGUAGCGGUGAAAUGCGUAGAGAUUUGGAGGAACACCAGUGGCGAAGGCGGCUUUCUGGUCUGUAACUGACGCUGAGGCGCGAAAGCGCGGGGAGCAAACAGGAUUAGAUACCCUGGUAGUCCACGCCGUAAACGAUGAGUGCUAAGUGUUAGGGGGUUUCCGCCCCUUAGUGCUGCAGCUAACGCAUUAAGCACUCCGCCUGGGGAGUACGGCCGCAAAGGCUG